GUGAACGCUAGUAAUAUGCCUAACACAUGCUAGUUGAACGGAAAUUUUUAAAUUUCAGUAGCGUAAGGGUGAGUAAUACGUGAGAAUCUGCCUAAAAGUUCAGUAUACUUCUGCUAUAGAUUAAUUCUGAAUAAUAAAUAAAGAUUGUUUUUAUCGCUUUUAGAUGAGCUCGCGCAAGAUUAGGUUGUUGGUGAGGUAAAAGCUUAACAAGCCUGUGAUCUUUAGUUGGUAUGGGAGUAUGAUCAACCACAUUGGGAAUGAGAAAAGGCCCAGGUUCUUUUUAGAGGCAGCAGUGAGGAAGUUUGGACAAUGAGCGCAAGCUUGAUCCAGCAAUGUUACGUGAGUGAAGAAAGUUAUGUGAAUUGUAAAACUCUAAGUUUGAAGAAGAUAAUGACGGUAUUCAAAUGAAUAAUCCCGACUAACUUCGU
This 428-nucleotide ribosomal RNA is filed under the name uncultured bacterium. RNAcentral's name for it is "partial 16S ribosomal RNA". It matches the Rfam family "Bacterial small subunit ribosomal RNA", at positions 29 to 506 of the family's 1533-position model. The record is from RNAcentral.